AUGAUGGGAGGGGGCCGGGCCAUAUACACUCAUAUGGGCCCGCCCCUAAGCUCUCUCCCUCUGCCGUUCCCCCCCCUCCGCCCCACGCAACCAGGUCAGGCCUCUCCGGUCUCCACUCCCCCUUCCCCCCAUUAUCCCCAAUGGGUCCGUGCCGUAACCCGCUCCCCCGGAGGGAACGCGUGCUCUGCGGAAAUGAGUCCCCUGGGAAACGCGAUCCGCUUCACUGGCGUUCCGCCCUUGCUUUGGUUCCUACGGCCUACAGAGCCGGAGGAAGGCGAUCCCGGGAAGGGGGGGGGGUGGUGUCCUCAGAGGGGUGGGGACGUGUCAGCUGUGUCUCCACGGAGGGCUGUGUGUCCCCCCCCUACAGGUGGAGCUGCUGCUGCUGCUGCUCGUGUACCCCCGUGGGCGCCCCCCCCCACCACCCAAAACGAAGGGGGGCUGCGGGGAUACCUGAGAGUAUUGGCUCGGGCGCCCGGCCCCCCCCGGCCCAAAGCGUGCAGCCGCUACCUGCGGCGUUUGGCUGCCCGGAGCCUGGGGGGGUUACGGGAGGGCUUUGGCACGAUGGGGAGCCCCGGAGGGGGGUUACGGCUUUGCCUCCGUUUGGAGCCCGACAACGCGAUGCCUCCACAUCCUGCCGGUGCUGCUGCAGGUGGGGGGGGGGGCUCAGGGCUGAUCGGUGCGGUUGGAGUCGGGGGGAGCAGAAUUAAGGCUCACCCUGCGCCCCUCCCGGUUUCCCCCCCCACACUCCGUCCCUUUCACCUGCUGCUUUUCCCUUUUUGUCUUGCUUUUCCCUUUCACUGCUGCUUUUCCCUUUCAUGCUGCUUUUCCCUUUCACUGCUGCUUUUCCCUUUCACUGCUGCUUUUCCCUUUCAGUCUUGCUUUUCCCUUUCAGUCUUGCUUUUCCCUUUCAGUCUUGCUUUUCCCUUUCAGUCUUGCUUUUCCCUUUCAGUCUUGCUUUUCCCUUUCACUGCUGCUCUUCCCUUUCAUGCUGCUUUUCC
This 998-nucleotide long non-coding RNA is filed under the name Coturnix japonica (Japanese quail). Its description in RNAcentral is "lncRNA (ENSCJPG00005007686.1)". Lineage: Eukaryota; Metazoa; Chordata; Aves; Galliformes; Phasianidae. The record is from RNAcentral.